UAGGGAAUAUUGGACAAUGGGGGCAACCCUGAUCCAGCCAUGCCGCGUGAGUGAAGAAGGCCCUCGGGUUGUAAAGCUCUUUUGUCCGGAAAGAAAAGCUUCGGGUUAAUACCCCGGGGUUCUGACGGUACCGGAAGAAUAAGCACCGGCUAACUUCGUGCCAGCAGCCGCGGUAAUACGAAGGGUGCAAGCGUUACUCGGAAUUACUGGGCGUAAAGCGUGCGUAGGUGGUUGUUUAAGUCUGAUGUGAAAGCCCUGGGCUCAACCUGGGAAUGGCAUUGGAGACUGGGCAGCUAGAGUGCGGUAGAGGGUAGUGGAAUUCCCGGUGUAGCAGUGAAAUGCGUAGAGAUCGGGAGGAACAUCUGUGGCGAAGGCGACUGCCUGGACCAGCACUGACACUGAGGCACGAAAGCGUGGGGAGCAAACA
RNAcentral lists this ribosomal RNA (427 nucleotides) under uncultured bacterium. RNAcentral describes it as "bacterial SSU rRNA". It matches the Rfam family "Bacterial small subunit ribosomal RNA", at positions 355 to 774 of the family's 1533-position model. The record is from RNAcentral.